RNAcentral lists this ribosomal RNA (481 nucleotides) under uncultured bacterium. Its description in RNAcentral is "bacterial SSU rRNA". It matches the Rfam family "Bacterial small subunit ribosomal RNA", at positions 8 to 485 of the family's 1533-position model. The record is from RNAcentral.
AGAGUUUGAUCCUGGCUCAGAGCGAACGCUGGCGGAAUGCUUUACACAUGCAAGUCGAGCGGCAGCGCGGGGCAACCUGGCGGCGAGCGGCGAACGGGUGAGUAAUGCAUCGGAACAUGUCCAUGUCGUGGGGGAUAGCCCGGCGAAAGCCGGAUUAAUACCGCAUAAGCCCGAGAGGGGAAAGCAGGGGACCGCAAGGCCUUGCGCGAUUGGGUUGGCCGAUGUCCGAUUAGCUUGUUGGUGAGGUAAAGGCUUACCAAGGCGAUGAUCAGUAGCUGGUCUGAGAGGAUGAUCAGCCACACUGGGACUGAGACACGGCCCAGACUCCUACGGGAGGCAGCAGUGGGGAAUUUUGGACAAUGGGGGCAACCCUGAUCCAGCCAUUCCGCGUGAGUGAAGAAGGCCUUCGGGUUGUAAAGCUCUUUUGUCCGGAGCGAAACGGUGGCGGUGAAUAUCCGCCACUACUGACGGUACCGGAAGA